Long non-coding RNA from Alligator mississippiensis (American alligator), 2984 nucleotides. RefSeq lists it as uncharacterized. The record is from RefSeq and is a predicted model, not a curated record. NCBI's taxonomy places the organism in Eukaryota, Metazoa, Chordata, Crocodylia, Alligatoridae. The transcript has 2 exons.
CAAAGUGUGUAUUAGGAGAGAGCAUAACUGACAGAGGAUCAGCCUAGCCCCACUGUGCUCAUUCAAGCUCUCCAGGAUACCAGGCAAGAGCUGAGACACUGGGCAACACUCCCUCUCUCCAGCAGACUCUGUUCUUCAAGAUCCGGGGCUUGUUAAUAUGUCAGCCUAGAAAGUACUGUAGUUUUCAAAAUACAGCCUACCUGCUUCGGAAAAAAACCCCCAAACAACGUUGCUGGUAAUCCCACUGUUCAUUACAUGCAAGACAUAGGGUGAGAACAGUUCCUGCAAAAAGAAAAAGUCAAAUCUUCAUGCGAUCUAGAGGAUGCAGAGCAAUGAGCAGGCUCACACUCUUGCUGCUCCUCCCCAGUUAGGUGCUACAAGCCAAGAUCUUUUUCUCUGCAUUCUGACUUUCCAAAACAAGGUGUAUAGUAUAUGUUGGUGCAUGCUGUAUGCGGGGAACUAUGAUAUGCACCUUUUAGUUGCACCAUCACUGCCCUACUUGAAUGUUACUCAUUCUGUACAUGAUCCUUUCCAAAUGAAAAGACCAGUGAAAACACAAAGAGUAUUUUUGGGAAGCUUUACCUGCCAUUUUGGAACAACAACAAAAGGCAUACCCAACCUUCCCAGGCAGCCCUCCAGACAUUUUCCUACAAUUCAAAGAAGAUGGAAAGGGUUUUCAGAGUACUUACUGUGACAGCUUGAUUGUUGGCAUGUACGCAUGGGUAGGCUUCCUCCCAUCCAGAGAACACAUCAAUAAUAACAAGAAUGUACUCAUAAGAACAGCACUUAGGUAGCAGCAAUUUAAGGUUACAUUUGCAGCUGACAGUAGAAGUUUCCUCUAUUUAGUAAGAUGGGAAUUGGAAAUGUGCUGAGUUUUGCCCUUGAGCAGAAGGGCCAUCACAGCAUGUGGAACUGCAACGGUUAAAGAGUGUCUCAAAACUAGAGAAUUUGCCUUUUCAACCAACAAGGCAGCAGCUGCAAGUGAAUGGAGGCAAGGAGGAAGUCCCGCAGCCACGGGAUCAAGGGCAGAGCUGUAUUAUGCAAUUGGGCGAUGCUUUUCACCGUGCAGCUGAGUGAGUACUCCUAAAGCGAUUUCUUCCUAUUCAUGACAAAACAAAGUAAAGGGUUUCUUAUAAUUAGGGAGUCCAAGAGCGGGAGCAACAGCAAGGGCUUGCUUAAGGGCCACAAACGCUUGUUUGGCUUCAGGAGUCCAAGGGAGGGGUUCUGGGGUGGUAUCAUGAGUAAAUGCUUGCAAGGGUUUUGCAAAAGCAGCAUAACCCAGGAUCCACUGUCUACAAUAACCCGUUGCACCUAAGAAUCCCCUCAUCUGUUUUCUAGUCAUAGGUUUGGGAAUGUUGAGGAUAGCUUCAACUCUACUAGGGCUUCUCUGGUUUUUCUGCUGCUUCUGAUACAGAAACCAGUGACCAGCAAAACCAUCUCGCACGUGUUCCUUUUUGGGGUUUUUUGUUUUGUUUUGGUUUUUUUGGGGGGGGAGAUCUGUGUUUUCAAAUGUCUGAUUGCAUAAGGGCCUUGAAUGCUGUAUUGUAGUGAUCUUAAAUGAAGGGCAGCAGUCAUGCAACCGAGUUGCAAUAGGUUUAACCCAGUCAACUCAGUGCCUUAAAAUAUUUUGAGGAAAGGAUUCCUUAGGGUGAUAUCUUUUAUUGAAGCAAUUGCAUAGUUGGGAUAGUGUUAGACAAGCUUUCGAAUGCAGGACAUUCUUCUUCAGGUGGCAUGUUUUGGAAAUAAUAUAAAUGCUAUCUUUUGUGGUUUAAAACAACCUGAAACUAUUGGGAGACUCUGAUUGGAUGUAGCUUAUCCACAUCCUCUCCCUAUUGGGUUUUAUUUUACUUGUCUUUGAAGCUUCUAGUGUUGACCACGGUUUCAUUCAAGAUACCAAAUCACCUGGUUCACAAGUCUGAUCUAGUGUGGCAAUUCCUGUAACUUGUCUGAAUGCUAUUUCUAGUGCAACUGCUUAAUUUGAAGGCUUGUGAAGCUAUGAUUUCAGUAUAAAUCCCAUCAGCUUUGCCAUUCAUUCAGCUUACCCAUCUUUUCACUCCCUCUUGUUCAGGUUCAAGAGCGGUUUGUGGCUCAUGGAAAUGACAGACUCAAGCUGAUUGUGUUACUGUGUAGUGAGGAUGAUGAGAAGGUCCAGAAAGCAGCUGCGGGAGCUUUGGCCAUGCUGACAGCAGCACAGAAGAAACUCUGCUAUAAAAUGACUCAAGUGACAAUUCAGUGGCUGGAAAUCCUGCAGAGGCUCUGCUUGCAGGACAGUGUGGAUGUUCAGCACCGUGGGCUGGUUGUUGCUUACAACCUAAUCAGCGCUGACAAAGAACUCGCCAAAAAGUUGGUAGAGAGUGAGCUCCUGGAGAUCCUGACAGUCGUUGGCAAACAAAAAGAUGACCCCAAAAUACAGCAUGCUCUUGACGCAGCUCGUGAGUGCCUUGUGAAGUGCAUGGACUAUGGGCUGAUCAAACCGCUGUCACGGGCAUGAGGACAUCAUUGUCUAUUGAGAAACGGCAAGGAAAGGGAGGCCACCAGGAGGUCUGGAAGUCUUCCAGACCUGCAUAAGGACACUCAGUCCCAUGGCCAAGGCUUUACUGAGCACUGGCUUUGUGUGUUUUGUCCUGAAAGAAGGUAAAACUUAAUGAUAUCUAGGUACUGCAAAUACCUUCAGUGCCAGGAUGCAGCAAAUUUCCACUGAAAGAAGCAAUAUGGGAAGCACAUUGAACAGCUGCUGCUUCAGGAAGUCUCAAAAAGGAUAAAGAGAAUGAGUGGACUGUUUUCACAAAUGAAAAUUCUUUAUUUCAGCAAUUCCUAGCAGUGGAAGAACAAGCACAAGGUUUUAUUUCCUCACAUCAGAUGUUCAGAAACUAGUUCAGAUUUGUUAUUUAAAAAUGAUUGUUUCUUCUUUUGAAUUGGAAUGCAGGCAUUUAGCAUGCGAGAGCACUGGGUGGAUUCAUAAUAAACAGCAUCUUUGCUCUGUG